UCCCCGGGAACGCUUCCACCGUCACUAAGGAAGAUGGCUUCACAUAUUGUUGGAUAUCCUCGCAUGGGCCCAAAGAGAGAGCUCAAGUUUGCUUUGGAGUCAUUUUGGGAUGGCAAGAGCAGCGCCGAUGAUCUACAAAAGGUUGCUGCAGACCUUAGAUCUUCCAUCUGGAAGCAAAUGUCCGAUGCCGGGAUCAAGUACAUCCCGAGCAACACCUUUUCGUACUACGAUCAAGUACUCGAUACCACUGCAAUGCUCGGUGCUGUCCCUGAAAGAUAUGGUUGGACUGGUGGAGAAAUCGGGUUCGACACAUUCUUUUCUAUGGCUAGAGGAAAUGCUACACUACCUGCUAUGGAGAUGACCAAGUGGUUCGACACCAACUACCAUUUCAUUGUUCCUGAAUUGGGCCCUAACACCGCCUUCACAUAUGCUUCUCACAAGGCAGUGUCUGAGUACAAGGAGGCAAAGGCGCUUGGCAUUGAUACCAUUCCAGUCCUUAUUGGACCUGUUUCGUAUCUGUUGGUUUCAAAGCCUGCUAAAGGAGUUGAAAAGUCAUUUUCUCCUCUGUCGCUCUUAGAAAAAGUUCUGCCUGUAUACAAGGAAGUCAUUGCUGAGUUGAAAGCAGCCGGUGCUUCUUGGAUUCAGUUUGAUGAGCCCACUCUUGUGCUGGAUCUCGAGUCUCACCAGUUGGAAGCAUUCACCAAGGCCUAUUCGGAACUUGAAUCAUCGUUCGUGGGUUUGAACACUCUUAUCGAGACCUACUUUGCUGAUGUUCCUGCCGAAGCAUACAAGACUAUCACAAGCUUGAAGGGAAUCUCUGGUUUUGGAUUUGAUCUUGUCCGUGGCACCAAGACCCUUGACCUUAUCCAAAGUGACUCCUUUCCAUCCGAUAAAUUCCUUUUUGCUGGACUUGUUGAUGGGAGGAAUAUCUGGGCUAACGAUCUCGCUGCUUCCCUCAGUACCCUUGAAUCCCUGGAGGCUAUUGUUGGAAAAGACAAG
Molecule: unclassified non-coding RNA, 999 nt
Filed under: Hevea brasiliensis (rubber tree)
Lineage: Eukaryota; Viridiplantae; Streptophyta; Magnoliopsida; Malpighiales; Euphorbiaceae
Source: RNAcentral